GACAACAACAACAACAACAACAAACCCAGUGUAUUCCCACUUAGUGGGGUCUGGGGGGGUAAGAUGUACGCAGUCCAUACCUCUACCUCUGAUGAAGUAGAAAGGCUGUUUCCGAAAGACCCCCGGCUCAAGUCACGAGAUAUCACACAAACACAUAGUACAGCACAGAAGCAGAUGACAUAACAUAGAUACGGCACCCAUAAG
RNAcentral lists this long non-coding RNA (204 nucleotides) under Capsicum annuum. RNAcentral describes it as "long non-coding RNA (CANN_LNC003627)". The record is from RNAcentral. Lineage: Eukaryota; Viridiplantae; Streptophyta; Magnoliopsida; Solanales; Solanaceae.